CCCUUUGGGUGUGACUGCGUACCUUUUGUAUAAUGGGUCAGCGACUUAUAUUCUGUAGCAAGGUUAACCGAAUAGGGGAGCCGGAGGGAAACCGAGUCUUAACCGGGCGUUAAGUUGCAGGGUAUAGACCCGAAACCCGGUGAUCUAGCCAUGGGCAGGUUGAAGGUUGGGUAACACUAACUGGAGGACCGAACCGACUAAUGUUGAAAAAUUAGCGGAUGACCUGUGGCUGGGGGUGAAAGGCCAAUCAAACCGGGAGAUAGCUGGUUCUCCCCGAAAGCUAUUUAGGUAGCGCCUCGUGAAUUCAUCUCCGGGGGUAGAGCACUGUUUCGGCUAGGGGGCCAUCCCGGCUUACCAACCCGAUGCAAACUGCGAAUACCGGAGAAUGUUAUCACGGGAGACACACGGCGGGUGCUAACGUCCGUCGUGAAGAGGGAAACAACCCAGACCGCCAGCUAAGGUCCCAAAGUCAUGGUUAAGUGGGAAACGAUGUGGGAAGGCCCAGACAGCCAGGAUGUUGGCUUAGAAGCAGCCAUCAUUUAAAGAAAGCGUAAUAGCUCACUGGUCGAGUCGGCCUGCGCGGAAGAUGUAACGGGGCUAAACCAUGCACCGAAGCUGCGGCAGCGACACUGUGUGUUGUUGGGU
This 645-nucleotide ribosomal RNA is filed under the name Salmonella enterica. RNAcentral's name for it is "partial 23S ribosomal RNA". It matches the Rfam family "Bacterial large subunit ribosomal RNA", at positions 582 to 1229 of the family's 2925-position model. RNAcentral also lists the same sequence under 1 other name. The record is from RNAcentral. Lineage: Bacteria; Pseudomonadati; Pseudomonadota; Gammaproteobacteria; Enterobacterales; Enterobacteriaceae.